Long non-coding RNA from Triticum aestivum (bread wheat), 630 nucleotides. RefSeq lists it as uncharacterized. The transcript has 2 exons. The record is from RefSeq and is a predicted model, not a curated record. Lineage: Eukaryota; Viridiplantae; Streptophyta; Magnoliopsida; Poales; Poaceae.
GCUAACUACUCCGAGUGUUACAUACUUGCCAGCAGGGAGUUGCUUGAAACAUAGGGAAAAUGGCGAAGAGAAACACUGUUGGCCUAUUACUUGUCCUUGCAAUUAUGUUCUCCUCCAAUGUCUUGGAGGGCGUUGCACACCAGAGCCAAGUUGUAUUCUCUCGCAAAGUGAUUAAUGCAGAGCAGAAGGCAUCCUUUAGUGGGAUGAGUUCAUCCCUUGGCGGGCAUGUUUCUGGUGCGACCAAUGCAGGAGGUGUGAGCAAUAAUGCUGAAAUAGAAAAUGUUGAAACUACCACUACCAUAGAGUCCCACCGUGAUGUCUCCGUGGGAGAUUUUCACGGGAUUAACCACAAACCACCAACUUAUAACAUGCCAUAAUGAUGAACCUAAGACAAAGGACCAUGGGCACCAACUUGAUAUCCGUGGAUGAACUAAUUAUCAAGUUGGCAAUUUCUACACUAAAGAUGUAUUUCUUUAUUAUAUGUGUGUGUAACUGUUUGUGAGACUUGGAUGGUGUGUUGGAGUGUCAAGCUAUUUACUGCUGUACUAAUAUUGUAUAAGGUAGUAUUGUACAACAAUGCAGAAUAAAUCAUGCCCGUGGUCCAUGGUAAUGGCCACUAUUGACAUGUUC